AAAUGAAUUGACGGGGACCCGCACAAGCGGUGGAGCAUGUGGUUUAAUUCGAAGCAACGCGAAGAACCUUACCUGGUCUUGACAUCCCUUUGACCGACGAGUAAUGUCGUCUUUCCUUCGGGACAGAGGAGACAGGUGGUGCAUGGUUGUCGUCAGCUCGUGUCGUGAGAUGUUGGGUUAAGUCCCGCAACGAGCGCAACCCUUAUCUUCAGUAGCCAGCAUUUGAGGUGGGCACUCUGGAGAGACUGCCAGGGAUAACCUGGAGGAAGGUGGGGAUGACGUCAAAUCAUCAUGCCCCUUAUGACCAGGGCUACACACGUGCUACAAUGGCGUAAACAAAGGGAAGCAGAGCCGCGAGGCCGAGCAAAUCCCAAAAAUAACGUCUCAGUUCGGAUUGUAGUCUGCAACUCGACUACAUGAAGCUGGAAUCGCUAGUAAUCGCGAAUCAGCAUGUCGCGGUGAAUACGUUCCCGGGUCUUGUACACACCGCCCGU
Molecule: ribosomal RNA, 494 nt
Filed under: uncultured bacterium
Lineage: Bacteria
Description: bacterial SSU rRNA
Rfam family: Bacterial small subunit ribosomal RNA
Source: RNAcentral